AUUAUUGGUGUUUAGUCAAAAUCUCCUUUCUUGUAACUUGAAGCCGUUGGUUUGGGUAUUAUCCUCCUAGGCAGAAGAAAACAAGCUUCCUCCAUCUUCCAUGGAUAUUUGAAAAUGGCUAUCAUAUCUCCUCCCAGUCUCCUUUUCUCCAGGCUAAAAAUACCCAGCUCGUUCA
Molecule: non-coding RNA, 175 nt
Organism: Podarcis lilfordi (Lilford's wall lizard)
Lineage: Eukaryota; Metazoa; Chordata; Lepidosauria; Squamata; Lacertidae
Source: the annotation of a GenBank genome assembly